GCGCACGCUGGCGGCAGGCUUAACACAUGCAAGUCGAGCGGGCACUUUCGGGUGUCCGCGGCGGACGGGUGAGUAACGCGUGGGAACGUGCCCUCUGGUUCGGAAUAACUCAGGGAAACUUGAGCUAAUACCGGAUACGCCCUUUUGGGGAAAGGCUUGCUGCCGGAGGAUCGGCCCGCGUCUGAUUAGCUAGUUGGUGAGGUAACGGCUCACCAAGGCGACGAUCAGUAGCUGGUCUGAGAGGAUGAUCAGCCACACUGGGACUGAGACACGGCCCAGACUCCUACGGGAGGCAGCAGUGGGGAAUAUUGGACAAUGGGCGCAAGCCUGAUCCAGCCAUGCCGCGUGAGUGAUGAAGGUCUUAGGGUUGUAAAGCUCUUUUAUCCGGGACGAUAAUGACGGUACCGGAGGAAUAAGCCCCGGCUAACUUCGUG
This 434-nucleotide ribosomal RNA is filed under the name uncultured bacterium. RNAcentral's name for it is "partial 16S ribosomal RNA". It matches the Rfam family "Bacterial small subunit ribosomal RNA", at positions 29 to 507 of the family's 1533-position model. The record is from RNAcentral.